AGCAGCCGCGGUAAUUCCAGCUCCAAUAGCGUAUAUUAAAGUUGUUGCAGUUAAAAAGCUCGUAGUUGAAUUUCGGGAUUGACGUGAUGGUCGUGCCUUACGGGGUAUGAACUGUUGCAGUCAAUUUCUCACCUUCUGGAGAAAUAUGAUGUCCUUAAUUGGGUGUCAUAUGGAACCAGGACUUUUACCUUGAAAAAUUAGAGUGUUUAAAGCAGGCUUAUUGCUCGAAUACAUUAGCAUGGAAUAAUAAAAUAGGACGGCAUGGUUCUAUUUUGUUGGUUUCUAGGAUCACCGUAAUGAUUAAUAGGGAUAGUUGGGGGCAUUAGUAUUCAAUUGUCAGAGGUGAAAUUCUUGGAUUUAUUGAAGACUAACUACUGCGAAAGCAUUUGCCAAGGAUGUUUUCAUUAAUCAAGAACGAAAGUUAGGGGAUCGAAGACGAUCAGAUACCGUCGUAGUCUUAACCAUAAAC
RNAcentral lists this unclassified non-coding RNA (469 nucleotides) under uncultured Glomus. Its description in RNAcentral is "SSU rRNA". It matches the Rfam family "Eukaryotic small subunit ribosomal RNA", at positions 569 to 1037 of the family's 1831-position model. Lineage: Eukaryota; Fungi; Glomeromycota; Glomeromycetes; Glomerales; Glomeraceae. The record is from RNAcentral.